This is a long non-coding RNA of Oncorhynchus masou masou (cherry salmon), 859 nucleotides long. RefSeq lists it as uncharacterized. Lineage: Eukaryota; Metazoa; Chordata; Actinopteri; Salmoniformes; Salmonidae. The record is from RefSeq and is a predicted model, not a curated record. The transcript is spliced from 2 exons.
CGUCCCUGUGACUGUGCACUACGUUCUCCAACAGUCCAAAGGCGCGUCAUCGCACAUCACCUUGUGUCCGCACCGGAGUCGGCACUUUUGGAAAUGACAUUACUUUCUGGACUUCAAAUUACUUUUUGAAAAGGAAAUAUUGUACUUCCGUUACCAUGGCGCAAAUACAAGAAAGGCAAGUGGAGGUCGCGGAGAGGAGAUAUCAGGGAGUUGGUCGCUGUAAAUGUGCCUUUUGGUUUGCGGUGAGCCACGACGUAGUUGGAGUGUUUAUAUUGCUGACCGGGGUGUUUGCAGACAUAUUCUGCCAUGACUUGUUCAUCUAUGCAGGGGCUGUCAUCAUCUUCCUCAGUCUCAUCUGGUGGGUGUUCUGGUUCUCGGGGAACAUCGAGGUGCCACCUGAGGAACUGGAGGAUGAUGUUGGCUUGGUCAAACUAAAGAACAAAGGGAUCAGCGGUGUUGUCAGGAAGGUUUCCAACCGUCUCACUAACGGAAUUAGGAACUCAUUCCGAAGGAACGGGAGAGUCAAGGGAGAGGGGCCCCGAACAACGGAUGGAAAUGUUACCUCUAACCAGCAGCAAGCCCCUGUCACUCUUUCCAUUAUUUAUCAGAACACAACAGAAUCUUCAUCUACUGAACUUACCAGACAGACACUGACAAUAUGACUUUACAGGUUCAGAGCAUUUUCUCUGGAUUCAAGAGCAGUCUGCAGGAACCUGAAGAUGUAUUGCACACUGUGACUGUACCAACAAAGUAGCUGAUUAGAGUAAUGAGAUUGAUUGCACUCUGACGCUAUAUAAUUGUUCAUAACAUGGCAUUUGAUAAUGUCAUUGUAAAUAUAACACAUUUUUUUGUACAAUAA